UGGGGAAUUUUGGACAAUGGGCGCAAGCCUGAUCCAGCCAUUCCGCGUGCAGGAUGAAGGCCCUCGGGUUGUAAACUGCUUUUGUACAGAACGAAAAGGUCCUGGUUAAUACCUGGGGCUCAUGACGGUACUGUAAGAAUAAGCACCGGCUAACUACGUGCCAGCAGCCGCGGUAAUACGUAGGGUGCAAGCGUUAAUCGGAAUUACUGGGCGUAAAGCGUGCGCAGGCGGUUAUGUAAGACAGAGGUGAAAUCCCCGGGCUCAACCUGGGAACUGCCUUUGUGACUGCAUAGCUAGAGUACGGUAGAGGGGGAUGGAAUUCCGCGUGUAGCAGUGAAAUGCGUAGAUAUGCGGAGGAACACCGAUGGCGAAGGCAAUCCCCUGGACCUGUACUGACGCUCAUGCACGAAAGCGUGGGGAGCAAACA
This 427-nucleotide ribosomal RNA is filed under the name uncultured prokaryote. RNAcentral's name for it is "bacterial SSU rRNA". It matches the Rfam family "Bacterial small subunit ribosomal RNA", at positions 355 to 774 of the family's 1533-position model. The record is from RNAcentral.